This 461-nucleotide ribosomal RNA is filed under the name uncultured bacterium. RNAcentral describes it as "bacterial SSU rRNA". It matches the Rfam family "Bacterial small subunit ribosomal RNA", at positions 920 to 1382 of the family's 1533-position model. The record is from RNAcentral.
CCCGCACAAGCGGCGGAGCAUGCGGAUUAAUUCGAUGCAACGUGAAGAACCUUACCAAGGCUUGACAUACACCGGUAACGCCCAGAGAUGGGUGCCCCUUUGUGGUCGGUGUACAGGUGGUGCAUGGUUGUCGUCAGCUCGUGUCGUGAGAUGUUGGGUUAAGUCCCGCAACGAGCGCAACCCUCGUCCUAUGUUGCCAGCGGGUCAUGCCGGGGACUCAUGGGAGACUGCCGGGGUCAACUCGGAGGAAGGUGGGAUGAUGUCAAAUCAUCAUGCCCCUUAUGACCUGGGCUACACACGUGCUACAAUGGUUGGUACAACGAGUUGCGAGUCGGUGACGGCGAGCUAAUCUCUUAAAGCCAAUCUCAGUUCGGAUUGUAGGCUGCAACUCGCCUACAUGAAGUCGGAAUCGCUAGUAAUCGCGGAUCAGCACGCCGCGGUCGAAUACGUUCCCGGGCCUU